UGUUAAAAAAUCCAUUCAUUUCUACUGUUAUAAGCUGGUAUGGCUAAAGAAUAAUCAAACAGUGAUACGUGGUGUGUCACAUAUACCUCAUGCUGACGUACAGGACCAGUUUCUAACGGUAGAAAUAGAUGAGAUUUUUAUUA
Molecule: microRNA precursor, 143 nt
Organism: Gossypium arboreum
Lineage: Eukaryota; Viridiplantae; Streptophyta; Magnoliopsida; Malvales; Malvaceae
Rfam family: MIR7502 microRNA precursor family
Source: Rfam